Alnus glutinosa is the source of this 609-nucleotide long non-coding RNA. RefSeq lists it as uncharacterized. The transcript is spliced from 4 exons. NCBI's taxonomy places the organism in Eukaryota, Viridiplantae, Streptophyta, Magnoliopsida, Fagales, Betulaceae. The record is from RefSeq and is a predicted model, not a curated record.
CUCUCUCUCUCUCUCUCUCUCUCUCUCUUCCUCUUUCAUUUUUCAUACAAAAAUUAUGAUCUACAAAGAUCCGACGGGCCAAACUCAAAUUUGAUUUCGGAAACGUAAUCUACGAAGUCCAAUCUAUGUUUCCACCGAUUGGUUUGAGGAUUUACAUGGUUUGGAACUUCCUAAACACUUUCCCAGCGUUAGAUUUCAUUUGGGCAAAUUUUGGUGACGCAUUGCAAGGUGAUGUCUAGGAGACCUAGUACUUAAAUCCACACAGCCAAGCAACCCCCGCAACCGUGCAGACGUUUAUGCUUUGGUUGCAAGUUUUGCGGAUAUAGUUAUUGACUCGUCCACCUAGUGUAUGGGAUGCUAUGAUUGGAGCAUAUCGCGACAGUCAUAAGUCACGGACUCAUGGGUAGUUCGCAUUUUGGGUAUUUUAUUUAUGGCUCGUGUUCCAUGUGACACAUGUAUUUGUUGAGCCUAUAUUUAGUAUGUAAUUGGUGUAAUAGGUUUUAUAAGCCUUAAAUAGAUAGUCUUGUAAAUGGCUCUUGUUGUAAUUAAUUGUUAUGUAUUAGAUGUAUUUUCGCUUAUGAUAUGUGUUCCGCUGCACAUUGAUUAUUA